UAGAGUCUUGAUCAUGGCUCAGAAGUCGUAACAAGGUAACCGUAAGUCGUAACAAGGAAACCGUAGAGUUUGAUCAUGGCUCAGGAAAGUCAUAACAAGGUAACCGUAGAGUUUGAUCAUGGCUCAGGAGAGUCGCAACAAGGUAACCGUAGAGUUUGAUCCUGGCUCAGGAAAGUCGUAACAAGGUAGCCGUAA
This 195-nucleotide ribosomal RNA is filed under the name uncultured bacterium. RNAcentral's name for it is "partial 16S ribosomal RNA". The record is from RNAcentral.